CUUCAAUUAACUCUUCUGUGCUCUGUUUCUGCUUGGAAUGUAUGGAUUCUACUUGGGUAUUACUCCUGGCUCUCUUACGAAGCAACAGCACAAGACUGUGAUGCAGAACGCCCUCUUUACCCACUCUGUGAUGAGAGAAAGACCACAGCAAAUAUCAUCUCCAGUAAAAAAUGAAAGAAGGGCAUCCCAUUAUGAAGGCUGCAAAGUAGAAAACAGUCACCUGGGAGGAGAAACAAAAUAACUAUACUGUCACUGGGAGGUAAGGGCAGUCUGCGCAGACGGUAAUGGGAGAGAUGAAGUCUGAGUCAGAGUACUUGAGGGCCUUGAAAACACAAGCGGAAAGUUCACACCUGGUACACCAUGCAAAAGAAAACAGACCCCGAAAGAAAAGCGAGUCUUAAUACGCACCCCU
Molecule: long non-coding RNA, 412 nt
Filed under: Gallus gallus (chicken)
Lineage: Eukaryota; Metazoa; Chordata; Aves; Galliformes; Phasianidae
Description: lncRNA (ENSGALG00010004590.1)
Source: RNAcentral